This 481-nucleotide long non-coding RNA is filed under the name Capsicum annuum. RNAcentral's name for it is "long non-coding RNA (CANN_LNC001678)". Lineage: Eukaryota; Viridiplantae; Streptophyta; Magnoliopsida; Solanales; Solanaceae. The record is from RNAcentral.
CGUCGACAAUGUAAAUGGCACUCGUCUCAACUUUUCAAAUUUAUGCGUACAUUCCUUGGCCUCUUAGAAUUUUCCCCCAAAUCCUCAACUUGAUUAUUUCUUAGUUCUGAUGAAUCAAAAAGAAGCCAGCCUUGAAUUAUAUAGUCAAAAAAGGUAAGGAGAUAUAAGCAAUUGCUAAGAUUUGCCUACUAAUAAACAAACAAAGUUAAAUUAAUCAGUACUCUAUUAUUUUCUUGAGGAUAAAUCUGAGAACACUCACAUCAACCAUAAAUUGGGAGAGAGAAGUCUGAAGAAAAUGGAAAGAAAUUUGUUACAAAUGAAGAAGAUGCCUGAAUCGAUACUAUACUAUUGAAAAUCGGAACAAGAGGAAUGGAAGAACUAUGAUUCUAGAUUUUCACUCUAUGUUUGAAAAACCUGCGUUUGGAGUGGAAAGAAUGAGACGAUGCUUCUUGAGAGGCUGGACAUCGUUUGGAGUGGGGAA